CCCUAUGGGGUGCAGCAGGCGAUGGCUGUCCUGGACCCGGAGCCUCUCAAGCGUUUCAUGCCCGCACAGGCACGCAUCGUCAUACCCGACAUUGUCAUUGAGCGCGACCCGUUGAACGGGCGCCUCACAUGCGCAGUGCCACAGCCCGCGUGGACUAUGACAGUCGACCCGGAGGUUCUGGCGUCUGCCCGUGAAGACCCUCAGGCGAGACCGUCUGUCAUGACCGACGUGACAAGGGCACGCUGGGUGGAUGAGUGCAUCGUCCAGCGCACCCAAACUCUCACCAGAAUUGGCGAGACUCUGAUCCAACAGUUGACGCCGUUCCUAUCGGGGGAGC
This 337-nucleotide ribosomal RNA is filed under the name uncultured prokaryote. Its description in RNAcentral is "partial 16S ribosomal RNA". The record is from RNAcentral.